GAGGGUAUCACUUAGUGGUAGAGUGUGCCCUUAAUAUGCAUAAGGUCCUGGGUUCAAUCCCCAGUACCUCCA
Molecule: transfer RNA, 72 nt
Filed under: Camelus ferus (Wild Bactrian camel)
Lineage: Eukaryota; Metazoa; Chordata; Mammalia; Artiodactyla; Camelidae
Rfam family: tRNA
About the family: Transfer RNA (tRNA) molecules are approximately 80 nucleotides in length. Their secondary structure includes four short double-helical elements and three loops (D, anti-codon, and T loops).
Source: Rfam by way of RNAcentral